CAAAGAAAUGGAUUCUUCCUUAGUGCCUCCAGAAGGAAUGCAGCCCUGCUGACUUCUUGAAUUUAGCCCAGUAAUAUCCAGUUUGGACUUCUGACCUGUAGCAAGGAGUAAAAAGACUUUGGCGUUCUCAGAAGAAAACCAAAUGAGAUCACACGAAUGAGACUGCUGGAGCAAUCUAAUGCAAAUAUCUACUACAGAUUAUCAAAAGGAAAAAAAAAGGAGCUUAUAUCAUAGUUGAGAGGUUCUCAAACACAAACUGGUGCCAAAAGUGACAAAAUGAGAAAGAUAAGUAUUGUGCAAUGAUCAUAUCUGUGCAUGGUAUGGUAUAGACAGCUGAUUUGUAAUCAGUACACUUGCAUGAUUUUAUGAAUUUCCAGUAAAACUUUGCCAAAGGAAACCUUCAUUUUAUUGCUUGUUCCCACAAUAAAUUAGAGCUUAUCAGCAAA
This is a long non-coding RNA of Homo sapiens (human), 446 nucleotides long. Ensembl annotates it as HDAC2 and HS3ST5 antisense RNA 2. Its record names the gene HDAC2-AS2. Lineage: Eukaryota; Metazoa; Chordata; Mammalia; Primates; Hominidae. The record is from Ensembl.